AUGUUGGCUGGCUUUCACAACAUGGGCUAUAAACAAGAGCAGCGAAGUUGCUACAAAUACGCAAGGCCUAUACAGGGGACCGGUCUGUCAAAAUCUUCAAGCACCUUUGCCAUCCUGCUAAAUGGGAAACCUGGCAUGUGGUUUCGUCGGCGGAUGUUGCGGCAGGGGGGUCCGCUGUCGCCAUAUCUUUUCAUCUUAGUUGUUGAUGUGCUUCAACGCAUGAUCAUUCAAGCUUCUAAUGUUGGACUUCUAUCCCACCCCUUGGACAACAACCUCCCUUGCCCGGUUCUGCAAUACGCUGACGAUCUGUUGAUGAUCCUCCCGACAGUCGCUGAACAACUUCAUCAUUUAAAACUUCUACCCAACCAGUUCAUCGAGGCAAUUGGCCUCUCAAUCAAUUUCCACAAAAGUACUUUUGCCUCAAUCCACGUCGACCCAGAUCUCUCCAUUACUCUUGCUGCGAUCCUACGAUGCCCGAUGGUCUCUUUCCCCCAAUUGUACCUUGUCUUCCCCUCUCGACCUCCAAGUUAA
This 531-nucleotide ribosomal RNA is filed under the name Triticum aestivum (bread wheat). RNAcentral's name for it is "partial small subunit ribosomal RNA". The record is from RNAcentral. Lineage: Eukaryota; Viridiplantae; Streptophyta; Magnoliopsida; Poales; Poaceae.